UCUUAACCAAGAAGGGUGUUCUUGGCAGUUCAAUCCCCCGCACGCCUCGCACAUGGGUGGUUCUUGGGAACGCCUGAUCGGUUUGGCCCGAAGAAUUCUUGAUUCAAUGCUUCUUGAACAGCACACUCGCUUAACCCACGAUGUCCUGUGUACACUAAUGGCAGAAGUCACAGCAAUCCUAAACGCGAGGCCACUAAUCCCAGUUUCAAACGAUCCCGAGGAUCCAUUGAUCUUGUCGCCAUCAAUGCUCCUAACUCAGAAAGGGGGAGUCCCUUCCCCACCCGGGGAUUUCACAGACAAAGACCUCCUCACCAAGCAAUGGAGACAAGUUCAAGCGCUGGCCAACAGGUUCUGGAAUCGUUGGAGUCGUGAGUACUUGCCCACCUUGCUUUGCAGGAAGAAAUGGCACAAGUCUUACCGAAACCUUCAGGAGGGAGACAUUGUCCUUCUUAAAGACACUCAAGUAGCCCGUAACCACUGGCCAACGGCUAUAAUCACAAAGACCUUUCCUGGAAAAGAUGGGAGAGUGAGGAAAGUGGAACUAAGGACCACAGUUCAGGGAUCUUCAAAGACUUUCCUCAGGCCAGUCUCCGAGGUGAUCUUACUUUUAGUUAAGGACUGAUGUACUGAAACUCAUUUCCUAGUUUAGUAGUACUAGUGACCUCACUGAGGCCAGGCGGGGAGUGUGUUGCCUUUUAGGCAUUAGGCUUUUAUUUUGUACAAGCUUUUAUUUUGAAAUGGUUUCCUGCCUUAGGAGUUCCAGGCGUUAGUUUCCUGUUAGUGGUUAGAGGAAAAUGGUGGAAUCCAUCAACAUGCUUUCGUCAUCCAUUGCAAUCCACAUCGUAAAUGCUGCAGAGGCAAUGUCUUUUCACUCUUCUGUCUGUGACAUGAUAUAAAGAGCCACAGUAAACAGCUUGAGAAGCUUA
Molecule: long non-coding RNA, 926 nt
Organism: Pungitius pungitius (ninespine stickleback)
Lineage: Eukaryota; Metazoa; Chordata; Actinopteri; Perciformes; Gasterosteidae
Exons: 2
Source: RefSeq, a predicted model, not a curated record